This 29-nucleotide non-coding RNA is filed under the name Rattus norvegicus (Norway rat). Lineage: Eukaryota; Metazoa; Chordata; Mammalia; Rodentia; Muridae. The record is from RNAcentral.
UGCCAAGGCACUCUGCUUUAGGUCGCCAU